This 252-nucleotide ribosomal RNA is filed under the name uncultured bacterium. Its description in RNAcentral is "partial 16S ribosomal RNA". It matches the Rfam family "Bacterial small subunit ribosomal RNA", at positions 524 to 776 of the family's 1533-position model. The record is from RNAcentral.
UACGGAGGUCGCAAGCGUUGUUCGGAAUUACUGGGCGUAAAGCGCGUGUAGGCGGUCUGGUAAGUCGGUUGUGAAAUCCCCGGGCUCACCCGGGAACUGCAUCCGAAACUGCUGGGCUAGAGUUCCGGAGAGGAAGGCAGAAUUCCCAAUGUAGGGGUGAAAUCCGUAGAUAUUGGGAGGAAUACAAGUGGCGAAGGCGGCCUUCUGGACGGUGACUGACGCUGAGACGCGAAAGCGUGGGGAGCAAACAGG